AACUAAGUAGUGGGGACCAUACUAAAUUGCAAAUUUAGAGAAGCGUGAGCCUUAGUUA
This 58-nucleotide transfer RNA is filed under the name Pseudoniphargus carpalis. Its description in RNAcentral is "tRNA-Cys". Lineage: Eukaryota; Metazoa; Arthropoda; Malacostraca; Amphipoda; Allocrangonyctidae. The record is from RNAcentral.